This 439-nucleotide ribosomal RNA is filed under the name uncultured bacterium. Its description in RNAcentral is "partial 16S ribosomal RNA". It matches the Rfam family "Bacterial small subunit ribosomal RNA", at positions 339 to 795 of the family's 1533-position model. The record is from RNAcentral.
CUACGGGACGCUGCAGUGAGGAAUAUUGCACAAUGGAGGAAACUCUGAUGCAGCAACGCCGCGUGGAGGAUGACGCAUUUCGGUGUGUAAACUCCUUUUAUGAGUCAAGAAAAUGACGGUAGCUCAUGAAUAAGCACCGGCUAACUCCGUGCCAGCAGCCGCGGUCAUACGGAGGGUGCAAGCGUUACUCGGAAUCACUGGGCGUAAAGGACGCGUAGGCGGGAUAUCAAGUCAGGUGUGAAAUCCUACAGCUUAACUGUAGAACUGCACUUGAAACUGGUAACCUAGAGUAUGGGAGGGGGAGAUGGAAUUAGUGGUGUAGGGGUAAAAUCCGUAGAUAUCACUAGGAAUACCUAAAGCGAAGGCGACCUCCUGGAACAUAACUGACGCUAAGGCGUGAAAGCGUGGGGAGCAAACAGGAUUAGAUACCCCUGUAGUC